Misgurnus anguillicaudatus (oriental weatherfish) is the source of this 1341-nucleotide non-coding RNA. The record is from RefSeq and is a predicted model, not a curated record. Lineage: Eukaryota; Metazoa; Chordata; Actinopteri; Cypriniformes; Cobitidae.
UCUUUACACACCGGGACGUUUUUCGGGCGCGUUUAUCGUCGACGUUUAACGUCUCGUGACUCAAGAACGAGCGCCAAUGUGAGUGCGCACACCCACGCGAAAAGCGCGACGCGCAAAAGCGUCAUUUUCAGAAAAACGCCUCGGACGCGUUUUUUUGGUUUGACGCGGCGCGUUAAAAGUUGGCCGACCAAUGAGAUUGGCGCUUUUGUUCCCGUGCCUGGCGCUGCUGAAGUUCCAGUUAAACACGACUUGGCGGCGCUCAAGCACAAAAUGGUCUUGCGGAGCACGUGGAACAGGUAAACACAAAGAAGAUGCAUCGAGGCUGUGGAGGUUUAUGAAGGUGUCGGAGUUCCUCACAUCAUCGACUGAAUUUCGAAGUGUUCACAGCAAUAUUUCUGCUAAAAUGAUGUGAGCAAAAGUGAGGAGGCCCCAGCAAGCACGUCUUCAGGAUCAUCCAGCACCAGCCGUGACAAGGUCCAAUCUAAACAAAAGAAAACAGUCCGAGACGAACCUCUGGAGAUGUACCUCUUAUCAAAAGAUGCUAAAGGGAAAAAAUUGAAAGCGAAGCACAGAAGAGAGAAAGAAGAGCACAGAAGUAGCGCUCUGCCAGUUUUGGGUCACACCUAUAGAUGUUUAUUAUAUACCAUUUAUAUUUAGUUAUUUUUUUUAUGUUUAUACAUUCAAGAAAUACAGUUGAACAUGUACAUUUCAUAGAUAUGUUUAUUUGCACUACAGUUCACUUAGACUUCUAUCAUUGUGACUUAUUUGCUCUACAGCUCUGCCAGUUCUUGUUCACACAAAUUAAUGUUUAUUAUAUACCAUUUUACUUAUGUAUUUUAAGUGUUUAUACAUUUAAGAAAUACAUUUGAAAAUGUCUAAUUUCUAAAUGUUGAUUUGCACUCCAGUUCUUGUUCACACAAAUUAAUGUUUAUUAUAUACCAUUUUACUUAUGUAUUUUAAGUGUUUAUACGUUUAAGAAAUACAUUUGAAAAUGUCUAAUUUCUAAAUGUUGAUUUGCACUCCAGUUCUUGUUCACACAAAUUAAUGUUUAUUAUAUACCAUUUUACUUAUGUAUUUUAAGUGUUUAUACGUUUAAGAAAUACAUUUGAAAAUGUCUAAUUUCUAAAUGUUGAUUUGCACUACCAUUCAGUUGCACUACAUUCAUUGUGACUUUUCUGGAGUGGACCAACAUUUCUGAAUCCUGUUUUAUUUGGUUUUACUGUCAUGUCUCUGAUUGUUAUUGCAAACUGCAGUUCAUUCACACAAAUAAAUGUUUGGUAAAAAAAAAGAAUUGUAAAUAACGUGACAUUUUGGCACUAUGAAUAUAUUUGUACAUCAGUA